This 397-nucleotide ribosomal RNA is filed under the name uncultured bacterium. Its description in RNAcentral is "partial 16S ribosomal RNA". It matches the Rfam family "Bacterial small subunit ribosomal RNA", at positions 523 to 918 of the family's 1533-position model. The record is from RNAcentral.
AUACGUAGGGGGCGAGCGUUGUCCGGAAUGACUGGGCGUAAAGGGCGCGUAGGCGGCCCGGUAAGUCUGGAGUGAAAGUCCUGUUUUUAAGAUGGGAAUUGCUUUGGAUACUGUCGGGCUUGAGUGCAGGAGAGGUAAGUGGAAUUCCCAGUUUAGCGGUGAAAUGCGUAGAGAUUGGGAGGAACACCAGUGGCGAAGGCGACUUACAGGACUGUAACUGACGGUGAGGCGCGAAAGUGUGGGGAGCAAACAGGAUUAGAUACCCUGGUAGUCCACACUGUAAACGAUGAAUGCUAGGUGUAGGGGGUAUCGACCCCUUCUGUGCCGCAGUCAACACAAUAAGCAUUCCGCCUGGGGAGUACGGCCGCAAGGUUGAAACUCAAAUGAAUUGACGGGU